GGUGAUAUAGCCAAGUGGUAAGGCAUAGGUCUGCAAAACCUUGAGCGCCGGUUCGAAUCCGGCUAUCACCU
This 71-nucleotide transfer RNA is filed under the name Bacillus cereus. Its description in RNAcentral is "tRNA-Cys". It matches the Rfam family "tRNA". Rfam says of the family: Transfer RNA (tRNA) molecules are approximately 80 nucleotides in length. Their secondary structure includes four short double-helical elements and three loops (D, anti-codon, and T loops). Lineage: Bacteria; Bacillati; Bacillota; Bacilli; Caryophanales; Bacillaceae. RNAcentral also lists the same sequence under 2 other names. The record is from RNAcentral.